This is a long non-coding RNA of Strigops habroptila (Kakapo), 1364 nucleotides long. RefSeq lists it as uncharacterized. NCBI's taxonomy places the organism in Eukaryota, Metazoa, Chordata, Aves, Psittaciformes, Psittacidae. The transcript has 3 exons. The record is from RefSeq and is a predicted model, not a curated record.
UUCAUAAUGUGUUAGAUCUGAUUCUCUUACGCUUUCGAAAAUCACAAUCAAAAGAACUGCCUGAGCCUACUUCUAUUUGUUUGAGAGCUGUUGAUAUAAUUUUACUUUUACAUUUGCCAGGUUUCUUAUCUGUUUUAUUUUUGUGAUUCUAGGUUGCAUUUUACUGUGUGUAAAGUGAUGCAUUUUCCUUUUGGAGAGAUCGUCCCCUAUGUACGGUAUCUGUUAUUUCAAGCUGUAAAGCAACUUAAUUUUUGAAGUUGGGCACACAACUACUUAUUUUUCUUUUCUCUUUGGUGUCAGGCUGGUGGGAGUUGGAAGCAGGAAACUCUUUCAGAGACUGAUGUUCAGACCCGGCGAGCAUCCCGCUUCCUGUUCCUUUCCCACUUGGGAUCUGCUGCUGUGUUUGAAGAAUAAGGAGGGAAAAAGGACGUUCCUCUUCUCUGUUUCAGCUUGAAGGUGAUUUCAUUUCUGCACUGAGAGCGGUGAUUUGAUGUUGCCUGAGUGUUACUGAAGGGACCUAAUUCUGCAAGUAGCAGUGCACUCGUUUCCCAUCAAUUUUAUUGGCAGUUGGGACCACUUAGAGCUUUGAAGAGAGAAGCAGUCUGAAGGGGGAGCUGGAAAGGGACUGGAAGAAAGCAGGAGGGCUUCCUGAUGUGGGAUUGCAAACCCAAACCUGUCCUUCUUGUAUAGACCUAAGAAUCUAGUCCUCAAAAGACAAACAUCUGCCAGGAAAAAAAGCUUGAUCCUGUCUGGGUGCGGAGAAGGUGGACUGACAAAUUCCAUUUGCUGGGUUGCUCACAUGCAUAAAUCCAUGUGUGUGAAUGUCCUCAGGAGGGGAGCCCAGCAGGGUCCUGGCUCCUGAAUGGCAUCGCUCCCCCUGGACCCUAGGCAGUCACAUAUUGAGUCCUCUGGUCUCGGUCACAGCUCCUGCCCUAUUUGCUUCCACGUGGAUGUAGAUGCUGCACAGGAAGAUUCUGCAGCCUGGCGCUGGUGGGGGGUAUGUGAGCUGGGAAUCCCAUUUGAACAGGGUCCUUUUAAGCCUUGUCACUGUUACACUGCUGUCAUUUUGCCAAAGCGUUUUUAAUCCUUUUCAGUUCUUCACAUUGGUUGCUGAACUGUUAAUCUGCUUCGUGCAUACCAAGGUCCUCUUGGAGAGCUACCAUGCCUGCUUUCUUGCUAGAGCACUGUUCAGCUAUUGUUGAUGAGAUACAAAGCAAGAUGUACAUAAAACUGGUGCAUAAGGAAACAGAAGCAAAGUGCAGAAGCCCACUUGAGAAUAUAUGUUGGUUUGCUUUUUGUCAGAGGUUUGUAGUUUACUUCUGAUUAACUGGCACAAUUAAAAUGGAAGUUACUGUCAAACAUUA